CCUACGGGAGGCAGCAGUAGGGAAUCUUCCACAAUGGGCGAAAGCCUGAUGGAGCAACGCCGCGUGGGUGAAGAAGGUCUUCGGAUCGUAAAACCCUGUUGUUAGAGAAGAAAGUGCGUGAGCGUAACUGUUCACAUUUCGACGGUAUCUAACCAGAACGCCACGGCUAACUACGUGCCAGCAGCCGCGGUAAUACGUAGGUGGCAAGCGUUAUCCGGAUUUAUUGGGGGUAAAGGGAACGCAGGCGGUCUGUUAAGUCUGAUGUGAAAGCCUUCGGCUUAACCGGAGUAGUGCAUUGGAAACUGGCAGACUUGAGUGCAGAAGAGGAGAGUGGAACUCGAUGUGUAGCGGUGAAAUGCUUAGAUAUAUGGAAGAACACCAGUGGCGAAGGCGGCUCUCUGGACUGUAACUGACGCUGAGGUUCGAAAGCGUGGGUAGCAAACAGGAUUAGAUACCCGAGUAGUC
This 465-nucleotide ribosomal RNA is filed under the name uncultured bacterium. RNAcentral describes it as "partial 16S ribosomal RNA". It matches the Rfam family "Bacterial small subunit ribosomal RNA", at positions 338 to 795 of the family's 1533-position model. The record is from RNAcentral.